Molecule: unclassified non-coding RNA, 219 nt
Filed under: uncultured Tomentella
Lineage: Eukaryota; Fungi; Basidiomycota; Agaricomycetes; Thelephorales; Thelephoraceae
Description: sequence contains ITS2
Source: RNAcentral
ACACCUCAACUCUCAUGGUCUGCCAUGAUGAGCUUGGACUUUGGGGGUCUUGCUGGCCUACCGUCAGCUCCUCUCAAAUGAAUCAGCUUACCAGUGUUUGGUGGCACCACGGGUGUGAUAACUAUCUACGCUUGUGGUUUUCUGCCGGGUAACCUCCAGUGAUGGAGGUUCGCUGGAGCUCACAAAUGUCUCUUCCUCAGCGAGGACAGCUUUUUGAAC